GUUCCUUUCUCCAGCGCCACCUGGGCACAGAACCCGCUCGGAGGUGGGGGGGGUCGUGGGGGGAGGUGGGGGGGCGGGGGUCGUGGGGGGACGUGGGCUGGGGCACAAUGAAUCUGCACCUCCCAACAGCAGGAAGAUCAGAGGAUUGGAAGAGGAGAGAGCCCUCUUUUCCCGCCCUCUCCUCCUAGCACCCUCCCCGUCUCCCGCUGCUCCCCCAACCAUGAAAAAAAUAGCAGUCUGAAACCAAGAGAGGAACCCAGUCUUUAUUUUGAAACAAUAGGUGGCCUCCUGGUGGCUGGAACGUGCUUUCGCCUGCGGGGCCCAGUGUCCGGACCCCACUGGAUCUGUGGAAAAAAACCAAAGUUGCGAAGCGCUGGAGCCCGUGCAGCAACCGGACAGCAGAAUGAACUCCGCUGCUUUUCUAUGUUGGCUGAGAGAAGGGCGGGAGACUUGCCUCAGACUCACCACCACUUUGGAGAGAUCGACUGGAGGCUCCUGGGUUUUCUGAGGGGCCUGGGGGACAGCUGGCUCAGCUUUGGUCUUGGCUGGAGGAGCCCCUGCUGCUGCUGGCUUAGCAGCAGGUUUGGAGAUGGAGGGCCCUGCUGGUUUCUUCACGGGAACAUCCUUCUUGGGAGGCAUGAUGUCCGGUGGCCAAAGGACAGUGUGCGGAUGGGGGC
This 677-nucleotide long non-coding RNA is filed under the name Homo sapiens (human). RNAcentral's name for it is "non-protein coding lnc-SMARCC2-2:2". The record is from RNAcentral. Lineage: Eukaryota; Metazoa; Chordata; Mammalia; Primates; Hominidae.